CAGUAGCCGCGGUAAAACGGAGGGUGCAAGCGUUAUCCGGAUUUAUUGGGUUUAAAGGGUCCGUAGGCGGAUCUGUAAGUCAGUGGUGAAAUCUCACAGCUUAACUGUGAAACUGCCUUUGAUACUGCAGGUCUUGAGUAAAUUUGAAGUGGCUGGAAUAAGUAGUGUAGCGGUGAAAUGCAUAGAUAUUACUUAGAACACCAAUUGCGAAGGCAGGUCACUAAGAUUUAACUGACGCUGAUGGACGAAAGCGUGGGGAGCGAACAGGAUUAGAUACCCCAGUAGUCCCUGUCUCUUAUAC
RNAcentral lists this ribosomal RNA (301 nucleotides) under uncultured bacterium. Its description in RNAcentral is "partial 16S ribosomal RNA". It matches the Rfam family "Bacterial small subunit ribosomal RNA", at positions 509 to 807 of the family's 1533-position model. The record is from RNAcentral.